CAUGCCGAUUUGAUUUGCGCUGGCUUUUGUAGGAACGGAACUGCGGUGUAAACCGAGGGCUACCUGUACAAAAGAAAAUGAAGUUUACAUAGAGGGUUACCACAAGAUCACUUGAAAAAAGAAUAGCAGAACAUAAAAGAGACAUAAGUAGAAGAAAGACAGCAAUGGCCCUCACUAUAAGAGCAUUAGAGCAUAAUGUACAAAUUGAUUGGGAAGAAACAAGAAUACUGAGAACCUUGGAAAUGGAUGAACACGCACCCCUAGCAGAAGCUGUUGAGAUAGACGCGAAUGACAGUAGAAAGAAUUUGGUGAACAUUAAUCAACUGACCCUUGUCAGUGGCAUGGAAAUACCUAUUGACCAAGCAUAUGUAGCCUGUAAUAUUUUUGCAUAAUAUUUUAGUAUUGCAUAAUGUAAUAUUUUUGUAUGCCACAGCAUGCAUGAGAUGUAAUUUGGACUUUGAUUGCUUUUUUAAGUUUAGUUAUAGUGUAAAAUAAUUUGUUUUAUAUUUUGCUUUUGUUUUAUCCAAUAACUGUGGUUCCCAUAGUAACGUGCAGUAUUUCUAGAACUUUAUGUUC
This 576-nucleotide long non-coding RNA is filed under the name Androctonus crassicauda. The record is from RNAcentral. Lineage: Eukaryota; Metazoa; Arthropoda; Arachnida; Scorpiones; Buthidae.